AUGCCAGUCCCAGUGCCGAUACUGGUCCCAGUUCCAUCCCAGUGCCAUCCCAGUACCAAUACUGGUGCUGUCCCAGUUCUAGUCCCAGUUCCAGUGCCCAUACUGGUCCCAGUUCUGAUACUGGUUCCAGUCCCAUCCCAGUGCCAUCCCAGUACCGAUACUGGUCCCGGUGCUGAUGCCAGUCCCAGUGCCAAUACUGGUCCCAGUUCCAUCCCAGUACCAAUACUGGUUCUGAUGUCAUCCCAGUUCCAUUCCAGUUCCGUCCCAGUACCGAUACUGGUCCCAGUGCUGAUGCCAGUCCCAGUUCCAGUUCCGAUACUGAUCCCAGUGCCAGUCCCAGUGCCGAUACUGGUCCUGGUGCCGUCCCAGUUCCAUCCCAGUCCCGAUACUGGUGCUGUUCCAGUGCCAUCCCAGUGCCGAUACCGCUCCCAGUGCCGGGCUUUUGGGGUUCCAGUGCCAUUUUUGGGGUGCCGGGGUGGGUUUUGGGGUGCAAGUGGGGGUUUUUGGGGUGUCGGGGGUGCCAGUUUUGGGGUGUCCAGGUUUUGGGGUGCGGGGGCCAAUUUUGGGGUGUCUUUGGGGGUUUUGGGGUGUCGAUGUUGAUGUCAUUGUGUUGGGAUGUCAAUGUUGGGUGUUGGGGUUGAUGCCGGUUUUGGGGUGCAGUCGCUGGGAUUUUUGGGGUGCAGGUGGGGGUUUUUGGGUGCUGUGGGUGCCAGUUUUGGGGUGCCCAGGUUUUGGGGUGCGGGGGCCAAUUUUGGGGUGUCUGGGAGGGGUUUUGGGGUGUCGAUGUCGAUGUCAAUGUAUUGGGAUGUCAAUGUUGGGUGUC
Molecule: long non-coding RNA, 823 nt
Filed under: Calidris pugnax (ruff)
Lineage: Eukaryota; Metazoa; Chordata; Aves; Charadriiformes; Scolopacidae
Description: lncRNA (ENSCPUG00000008584.1)
Source: RNAcentral